CGUUAACGCUGGCGGUAUGCCUAACACAUGCAAGUCGAACGGCCGCACAGUAAGAGCUUGCUCUUACGGGUGGCGAGUGGCGGACGGGUGAGGAAUACAUCGGCAUCUACUUUUUCGUGGGGGAUAACGGAGGGAAACUUACGCUAAUACCUCAUACGACCUACGGGUGAAAGCAGUGGAUCUUCGGACCUUGCGCGAUUGAAUGAGCCGAUGUCGGAUUAGCUAGUUGGCGGGGUAAAGUCCCACCAAGGCGACGAUUCGUAGCUGGUCUGAGAGGAUGAUCAGCCACACUGGAACUGAGACACGGUCCAGACUCCUACGGGAGGCAGCAGUGGGGAAUAUUGGACAAUGGGCGCAAGCCUGAUCCAGCCAUACCGCGUGAGUGAAGAAGGCCUUCGGGUUGUAAAGCCCUUUUGUUGGGAAAGAAAAGCAGCAGGUUAAUACCCCGCUGUUCUGACGGUACCCAAAGAAUAAGCACCGGCUAACUUCGUG
This 492-nucleotide ribosomal RNA is filed under the name uncultured bacterium. RNAcentral describes it as "partial 16S ribosomal RNA". It matches the Rfam family "Bacterial small subunit ribosomal RNA", at positions 29 to 507 of the family's 1533-position model. The record is from RNAcentral.